This is a long non-coding RNA of Felis catus (domestic cat), 2270 nucleotides long. RefSeq lists it as uncharacterized. The record is from RefSeq and is a predicted model, not a curated record. The transcript is spliced from 3 exons. Lineage: Eukaryota; Metazoa; Chordata; Mammalia; Carnivora; Felidae.
AUCGCAAGCUUCGGAUCCCCCCUCCCCACCCCCUCCACGAUCCGCUGGUUAGUGGCUCCUUCCAGACUCCGAGCCUCGGGGGGCCUCCCAGAGAGGCCACUGCUGAGUUCUUUGACCCCUAGCUCCAAGGGAGACCUACAGACCUCUUAAUGAGGACGGUCCCCACUCCCUACGAGAUCCCCAUCUUCUGCAUUUCCUGGAUAUGCCCUAGCGCCCUCACCUAGCCCACUGUCCCCCAUAUCCUUUCACAGGGAUCCUCUCUCCAAAUCCCCUAAUCCGUACUCUUUUCUCAACUCCACGUCCGUGCACGUCCAUUCUUCCCAUCAACCUUCCCUCUUCUCUCACCUCACCCCUUCACAUUCUCUGCUUUCCCCGCUCUAUUUUUCCUCAGCCUGGCAAGCUUGGGAGGUAAGGGACAUCCCUUUCCCUGGUUCCAGGGGAGCACCCAGGAAUGUAAAGGAAUUGGCUCGGUUGAGGGGAAGUUUUUCAGAAUGGGACUUGAAGAGGAAUUGCCCUGGACUGAAUAGCCCAUCUGGAGAUGGCUCUGUACUGGAACAUUUAUGCUUUAUUUAAUCCACAUUGCUACCAGGGCUGACAGGACAAGGAUUAUUAGGUCUGAUUUACACACAGGGGAACUUACAGGCUCACAAAUCUCACUGUUAGUAUGUGGAUUUUCAAUUAUGCAUUCAACAAAGAUUUAUUGAGUACCUAGUAUUGCCACUGCCAGACCACUAACUGACAUUUACUAAACACUGAGUGCCAGGCACCAGUUGUACUCUAUAACACUUUAUAUGUGUUUUGAUUUUCACAACAACCCCAAAAGGUGAGUAUUCUCCCCAUUUUCCAUUUGAGGACACAGACUCAGCCUGACUUCCUACAGGUUGCGAAGCUAUGGUAAAUAGCAGAACCAGGAUCUGAAACCAUAGUUCCUGGCCCCAACCCUCUUCACUCUCUACAUGCAUCAGAUUGUCCAAACCCCAGAGUGCUUCAGCCUCCCCAGGGAAACCUAGGCCUAGUCCUGACUGCCUCAAACUUGCUGUGUGGCCUCAAGGAAGUCAUGUUACCUCUGUGGGCCUCAAUUUUUUUUUCUGUCAAAUUUAACAUGUCCAAGCAUCUAGAGAUUCUUUCAAAUUCUCUACCCUCAGGAUUCUACCAAGCCCAUGUUCUAGACCCUGUCUCUCCCAAUGGCCUGGGAAAUACCUGAGGUGGAGAAACUGAGGCACACAGGCACAGAGAGGUCAAGUUACCUGCUUAGAAUUGUAGACCAGCAGAGCUAUCUAUUGAACCUGGUGGCAAAGGAGUGGGGGAGGUUAGUAUUCUGGGACCCUGGUCUGGACCUGAAGGUUGUAAAAAGAGGCAGUGGGCACCAUGCUGGGGGUAAUCCUGGAGACUUAUUUCCAAUUAGAGACUGCCAUUGCUGGAUAGACAUGGAUGUCUUCACAUACACAUGGAGGCAUCCGUGUACAAACAUACACACAUGCACAUGAACUCACACCCACGGAGUUAACAGAUGCCCAUACCCAUCCAAUCCCUGCUCAGACAUAAGCACCUUCCCAAUUUUAUGGGCUCCAGGAUUGGAGGUCAAGAGGCCAUCCUUCUAUUCCUGUCUGGGCCUGAGGCUUGCCCUCACCAAACCCUGGGGCCUCACCAAUGGCUUGGGGCCCCCCACUUCAAAGGACAGAGAUGUGUCAGAUGUGUCAGCCUGGGUGUGUCUUUCACAGACCUUGUGUGUACUUGAAGAUAUGAGCCCGCUGGAGAACUGCCUCACCAUUCAUCCCUUCUCCCUUUCCCCUCUCAGAUAGACAGCAAGGCUGAGACAAAGACCACAGGGUAGCUUGGAAUCUGAGUCAAAAUCAGGAGUCCUGAUCACUCAGAAGCAUAGCCCUUCCCUGCCCUCCACUAGUCCCAGAACUACAGUUAAAUGAGAAGAUUAAUUAUGAUACUAUUGGGAUUUCUAUGUGCCAGCACUCCCAUGUUGGCCUUGGAGGAGCAAACUGCCAUGUUUUGGAGAGGGCCACAUGGCAAGGACCCAAGAGGGGCCUCUAGAAGCUGAGAGCAGCCCCCAGAUAACAGAUAGCAAUAAAAUAAGGAUCUUAAUAAUAUGGCUGCAAGGAAAUGAAUUCUGCCAACAACCUGAGGGAGCCUGCAAGAAAAAGUUUCCCUAUUUGAGUCUUCAGAUGAGGACACGGUGGUCAACACCUCAAUUUCACCCUGUGGGUCCCUGAGCAGAGAACCCAAAUAAGCUGUGCCUGGACUUCUGACUAAUAAAA